CAGUCGCCGCGGUAAUACGAGGGGGGCAAGCGUUGUUCGGAAUUAUUGGGCGUAAAGGGUGCGUAGGCGGUUUGGCAAGUUUGGUGUGAAAUCUUCGGGCUCAACUCGAAGUCUGCAUCGAAAACUGCCGGGCUUGAGUAUGGGAGAGGUGAGUGGAAUUUCCGGUGUAGCGGUGAAAUGCGUAGAUAUCGGAAGGAACACCUGUGGCGAAAGCGGCUCACUGGACCAUAACUGACGCUGAUGCACGAAAGCUAGGGGAGCAAACAGGAUUAGAUACCCCGUAGUCCCUGUCUCUUAUACA
Molecule: ribosomal RNA, 301 nt
Filed under: uncultured bacterium
Lineage: Bacteria
Description: partial 16S ribosomal RNA
Rfam family: Bacterial small subunit ribosomal RNA
Source: RNAcentral